GAGGAGAUGACCUCAAGACAAGCAGCUUCCAUGCAAUACUGCAGCAAGGGCUUACUUUCCUGAGCAUUUCCCACGCUCCAAUCACUGCUCUAAUUCCUUUAGAUGUGUUAACUCACUUCCUGCUCACAAUACUUCUAUGAGGCACUCAGCAGCUGUUUCCUGAGCUGAUGUACAUCUCAUUAGUCUAUCAAGCUCCAACAGCCAAGGCCAAGGCCCCCAGAAUGAAAAACUGACGCAGCCACCCCUUCCUGUGCCAGAGACAGGAGAAGGGAGGGAGACUGACGGCCUUUGUUCUCUGAGCAAGACCGUAAAGCACUUCGCCUACAGGCCACAAGAGGGCGAUGGUGGUCCACACAUAAGAUCUUCCCAAAGAGCCAGCCAAAAACGCCUGCCUGGAGAAUCUGGAGGUUGUGAAAGGUGACUUUGUUAAGGAAGGGCG
Molecule: long non-coding RNA, 439 nt
Organism: Homo sapiens (human)
Lineage: Eukaryota; Metazoa; Chordata; Mammalia; Primates; Hominidae
Source: Ensembl